UUAUACAAAAAUCUUAAUUACUGUAAGAUAAGCAGAUGCUGCAAAACUAUGACUUCUGUAUAAAAGCACUGACAUUGUAUUAUAACAAGCAGUAAGUCAUUGUUUAUACAAUUUGGAGUAACUGUUGCGAUUUGGCUACUGACACAAAAGUACAAUGAGGAACUCUCCUAAAAUAGAUGGCAUUGUCUCUGGUUCCUGUUCCCAAAUACAGAAAGAGGAGGGGUCAUCUGUGAAGCAUUCCUGCAUUCUUUCUACAUCUGAUCAGUCCUGUGAACCCAGCACCACAUUAUCACAUCUGGCUGUCCUCUUGGAGGGGGAAGCAGAAUCAGCUAGGGCCCAAAAGUUGCACUGGAUUGGGAAGGAGAGCUGCUGGUCCAUAUCAUCCCCAUAUUUCUUGGCAGGAAUGAAAACGGACACUGCUCUGCUUUCAAGAGCUGAAGGGAAAAAACAGUGAUAUCUCCCAAAAGACAGACACCUCCAGAUGCCAGCAAAGCGGAACCUGCAUGGAUGUUGGCG
Molecule: long non-coding RNA, 516 nt
Organism: Puntigrus tetrazona (Sumatra barb)
Lineage: Eukaryota; Metazoa; Chordata; Actinopteri; Cypriniformes; Cyprinidae
Exons: 3
Source: RefSeq, a predicted model, not a curated record